CUUUGAAAGUGCCUGUUUUUCAUUAUUGAAUUUAUUAUAAUUGUAAAAUUUCACUUAACCAUCGGAUUUCAAACCGAACUUGCUAAAAUGCUGUUUUCUUUGUGCCUGGUAUCUUUGGAGAAGAUCUCAGCCGUGUGAAGAUUGAGAACAUUCUCGAGCAAAAGAUCUAAGAAGACACAUGCAGCUCAGUGCCGGGUCCUAAUGAGAUGAUGAAUGAGAGCGUGCGGAGUGAUGGAGGCUCCAGAUCCACUGGUGACCGCUAAUUCAAGGGGAAAUUCAUCAAAGCGGGUCUGUCCUCACAUGCACCGACAUAAAACAAUGCCGGAGUCCGGUGAAGAUGAAUGGUGGUAAUUAUCGGCUCUACCUGGCCAUAACAAUACGAAUAGUUCUCUCCUGUUUCCUAGGCCUCCCGCUUCAAAUGCACAAAAUGCUGACUUGAAAAAAAAAAAAAAAAUACAUCUGCUGAAUCAUCCCCUAUUUUUUUUAUUAUUUCAAAACAAUUAUUUUUGUCAUGUGAUUAAAAAUGCCAGAGCAGUAGCCUAAUGCUUUGUUCGGUUGAGUGUUGUAAAUUUUUUUUUUUCAGGUAACGUUCAUGCCAUGCUCCUAAUUCUGAUUGGCUUUUGGGCAAAACCACCACACAUAACA
This is a long non-coding RNA of Syngnathoides biaculeatus (alligator pipefish), 645 nucleotides long. RefSeq lists it as uncharacterized. Lineage: Eukaryota; Metazoa; Chordata; Actinopteri; Syngnathiformes; Syngnathidae. The transcript is spliced from 3 exons. The record is from RefSeq and is a predicted model, not a curated record.